Molecule: ribosomal RNA, 1216 nt
Filed under: metagenome
Description: SSU rRNA
Rfam family: Eukaryotic small subunit ribosomal RNA
Source: RNAcentral
UUCACGGUAUUGCAAUGAGAACAAUUUAAAACCCUUAGCGAGAAUCAAGUGGAGGACAAGUCUGGUGCCAGCACCCGCGGUAAUUCCAGCUCCACUAGCGUAUAUUAAAGUUGUUGCAGUUAAAAAGCUCGUAGUUGAACCUCUGUCUGGGGCUAGUUUUGGCUUUGGUCAGGCUAGUUCUAGGCAUCCGCCUACAAGACUUAGAGGGCAUUCAGUUGUUCACUAGGAGGAGUAGGCAUUUUACUUUGAAAAAAUUAGAGUGUUUAAGGCAGGCAAUCGCCCGCAUAUAUUAGCAUGGAAUAAUAGAAUAGGACACUUUUCCAUUUCGUUGGUUAUUGGAAUCGUGUAAUGAUUAAUAGGGACAGUUGUGGGCAUUUGUAUUUAAUUGUCAGAGGUGAAAUUCUUGGAUUUAUUAAAGACAAACUAACGCGAAAGCAUUUGCCAAGGAUGUUUUCAUUAAUCAAGAACGAAAGUUAGAGGAUCAAAGACGAUCAGAUACCGUCCUAGUCUUAACUAUAAACUAUUCCGACUCAAUGUUUGACUGGCUUAUAUAACCAGUUGAGCGUUGUAUGAGAAAUCAAAGUCUUUAGGUUCUGGGGGGAGUAUGGUUGCAAAGCUGAAACUUAAAGGAAUUGACGGAAGAGCACAACCAGGAGUGGAUUCUGCGGCUUAAUUUGACUCAACACGGGGAAACUUACCAGGUUAAAACAAUAGUGGGAUUGACAGUUUGAGAGCGCUUUCUUGAUUGGUUGGGUGGUGGUGCAUGGCCGUUCUUAGUUGGUGGAGUGAUUUGUCUGCUUAAUUGCGUUAACGAACGAGACCUUAACCUGCUUACUAGACUGGCGAUCAUCAAUCGUUAGCUCUUCUUAGAGGGACUUUGGUUGUUUUAACUCCAAGGAAGUUUGAGGCAAUAACAGGUCUGUGAUGCCCUUAGAUAUCCUGGGCCGCACGCGUCAUACAAUGACUAGUUCAGAAAGUUUUCUCCUGACCCGAAAGGGGAUGGGUAAUCUUGAUAAUACUAGUCGUGUUAGGGAUCGAUCUUUGCAAUUAUAGAUCUUGAACGAGGAAUUCCUAGUAAGUGCGGUUCAUCAGACCGUACUGAUUGCGUCCCUGCUCUUUGUACACACCGCCCGUCGCUUCUACCGAGUGGGUGGUCCGGUGAGAUAAUUGAACUUCGCAGGUAACUGAGAGGAAAGAUUAUCAAACCUAUCCACCU